This 497-nucleotide ribosomal RNA is filed under the name uncultured bacterium. RNAcentral's name for it is "partial 16S ribosomal RNA". It matches the Rfam family "Bacterial small subunit ribosomal RNA", at positions 28 to 507 of the family's 1533-position model. The record is from RNAcentral.
GAUGAACGCUGGCGGCGUGCCUAAUACAUGCAAGUCGAGCGAACAGACGAUGAGCUUGUUCCUUUGACGUUAGCCGCGGACGGGUGAGUAACACGUGGAUAACCUACCUAUAAUACUGGUAUCAUUUCGGGAAACCGGAGCUAAUCCCGGAUAAUAUAUUGAACCGCAUUGUUCAAUAGUAAAAGACGGUUUUGCUGUCACUUAUAGCUGGAUCCCCGCCGCGUUAGCUAGUUGGUAAGGUAACGGCUUAGCAAGGCGACGAUGCGUAUCCGACCUGAGAGGGUGGUAGGCCACAUGAGAACUGGAACAGGGUCCAUACUACUGCGGGAGGGAGCAGUAGGGUACCUGCGGCAAUGGGCGGAAGCCUGACAGAGCAAGGCGGAGUGAGAGAUGGAGAUGUUGGGAGCGUAAAAAUGGGUUAUGAGGGAAGAACAAAUGUGUAAGUAACUAUGCAGGGCGUGACGGUAACUAGUAAGAAAGCCACGGCUAACUACGUG